GACGAACGCUGGCGGCGUGCUUAACACAUGCAAGUGGAGCGACGAACCGGGCUUCGGCCCGGGGCAAAGCCGCGAACGGGUGAGUAACACGUGGGUAACCUGCCCUGAAGACCGGGACAACCCGAGGAAACUCGGGCUAAUACCGGAUGUGUUCACUGUUCAUAAGAACAAUGAGAAAAGGAAGCUUCGGCCUCCGCUUCAGGAUGGGCCCGCGGCCCAUUAGCUUGUUGGUGAGGUAACGGCUCACCAAGGCUUCGAUGGGUAGCUGGUCUGAGAGGACGAUCAGCCACACUGGGACUGAGACACGGCCCAGACUCCUACGGGAGGCAGCAGUGGGGAAUCUUGCGCAAUGCGCGACAGCGUGACGCAGCAACGCCGCGUGGGGGAAGACGGCCUUCGGGUUGUAAACCCCUUUCAGGAGGGACGAAGCUUCGGCAGCGAAUAGCUGUCCGGAGUGACGGUACCUCCACAAAGCCCCGGCUAACUACGUGCCAGCAGCCGCCGUAAAAC
This 510-nucleotide ribosomal RNA is filed under the name uncultured bacterium. RNAcentral describes it as "bacterial SSU rRNA". It matches the Rfam family "Bacterial small subunit ribosomal RNA", at positions 28 to 526 of the family's 1533-position model. The record is from RNAcentral.